This 242-nucleotide ribosomal RNA is filed under the name uncultured bacterium. RNAcentral describes it as "partial 16S ribosomal RNA". It matches the Rfam family "Bacterial small subunit ribosomal RNA", at positions 524 to 764 of the family's 1533-position model. The record is from RNAcentral.
GACAGAAGAUGCAAGCGUUAUCCGGAAUGAUUGGGCGUAAAGCGUCUGUAGGUGGCUUUUUAAGUCCGCCGUCAAAUCCCAGGCUCAACCCUGGACAGGCGGUGGAAACUACCAAGCUGGAGUACGGUAGGGGCAGGAGGGAAUUCCGGGUGGAGCGGUGAAAUGACGUAGAGAUCGGAAAGAACACCAACGGCGAAAGCACUCUGCUGGGCCGACACUGACACUGAGAGACGAAAGCUAGG